UUUCCGUAGGUGAACCUGCGGAAGGAUCAUUACAGAGUUCAUGCCCUCACGGGUAGAUCUCCCACCCUUGAAUAUUUAUACCUUAGUUGCUUUGGCAGGCCGUGGAAACACCAUGGGCUCCGGCUUAUGCGUGCCUGCCAGAGGAAACAAACUCUGUUUUUAGUGAUGUCUGAGUACUAUAUAAUAGUUAAAACUUUUAACAACGGAUCUCUUGGUUCUG
Molecule: unclassified non-coding RNA, 220 nt
Filed under: plant metagenome
Description: partial contains small subunit ribosomal RNA, internal transcribed spacer 1, and 5.8S ribosomal RNA
Source: RNAcentral